GACAGAGUAAAAUAUAAGCCCAAAAGUAAAACCAUCGGGUUUGUAAGUGAUCUUCAGGAAAAUUGAAGUUCAAGACUGUGGUGGUCUUAAGAUUCUUUAGAAUGAGGCAUCAGUCCUCUCCUUUCAAAAUGUUUCCCAGUUCAGAACUCUAAGAAUACUGGCUCUUUUCCCCUUGGUUUGCAGCAGCAUUCAUCCAACUUACAUGGUCUUCUUCUUCUUUUAAAAAAAUUCUAGAUCUUUUGAUGAGACGGAAUCUGAAGGAUCAAGCAAACUGUCCCACCAGCCGGUGCUGCUGUUCCUCCGGGAUCCAUACGUCUUGCCUGCAGCCAGCGAUUUUCCAAAUGUGGUUAUUGAAGGAGUCCUCCAUGGGAUAUUUUACCCCCAUCUGCAGCCCAGGUAGACAUCCUCCAUGGCUCGAAGAAGCUGAAGCAGGUUUCCCGGAGAUCGAUAUCUACCAAAUUAACCUAAACUCUCUGACAUAACAGCUCUAGCCGGUGGUAAAAUUCACAGUCCCAGCUUAAUUCAGGGCAGGGACAUUUCCACGAGAAUGGUGCUUUUAAAAAUAGAAACUGAACCAGGGUGGCCCUGAGGUGAAGGCCGAGUGUUUGAGAAGUAGAAGGUAGCUGCCAAUUUCGAAACUGGUGAAGAGAGGGCUGUGGAAGGUGGCUGGGGGCAGCGAGGGUAACAGAACGAAAGUCCAUCUCUGCUUCAGUUGCACCAUUUGCUAAUCGCACAUCUGAUCCUGAAUCACACUGAGACUGAUGUACUUUGGUAGCUUGUUGUUGUUGUUGUUGUUCAGAUUUUAGGAGACACUAAUCUUUUCAUCAUGACGUUUUCUCGGUCUGUGAGAGAUACGUUCUUACGUGCUGGCACCGUGAGAGUAUCACAGAAACAGGCUAUGCUCCAUGUGAGGGCAGAACUCAACUGGAAAUCAAACUAUGCUGACAGUGUGAGGGCAUUUUUAACAAUGUUGUCAUUGCUGUUCACACGGCAGUGGUGUUGCAUCGUACCUGGGGAUUAGCUUCCAGUGCCAGGACGUACGAUAAAGCAGAGUGUGUGGAGAGUCUUCUCGACAGACGUUUCCAAAGGCGCCAUAUUGGAAAUCUGUGCAUCCAACACAACCAGGUUUUCCUCCUGCGUUGGAAGAAAGGACUGUUUCUUCCGUUGAAGACCAUUUGACGUUAUUGGUGUUCGUUUAGGGCAAUUUUGCAUAAAACCCCAUACCUUUCAACACUAGAAUCACACUCCGUUCUGCAAGAUGCUUGUCUUCUGAGAGACAGAUGUGAACUGACUGCCCGAGGAGACACCACGUGGUAGCACUUGGUUUCCUCAAGGUUCUCCAACCCUCCUCAGGGUUUACUCAUUCAUUUAACUGGUGGGAUUUUCACAGGAUUUACUGUUAUUUUCCUUGUUGUCUCCUUCUCGCUGACCUCCUAUAUGGAAUUAACGUAAGUUCAAUGACUGAUCUAACUCUACCGUACAUCUCACUGACAUUCAUAUUUUGAGUCGUAAAGGACAAAGGCAUAUAUAUGCAAACUUUAUGUAGGUACUGUAUUUGGGCAUUUCAUCAAAAACUAAUUAAUAGCUAGCCUAUUUAUGGUUAUUCGUGUUACUAAGCUUCUGUGUGGGAGAAAAAUAUUUGGAUUCAAAAUGAAUAACUAAAUCAUGGUUUUUGGUCAGGAUCUCAAUAUACAGGUUUAAAGCGUGCUGCAGAGUUUGAGAGAUACAUUUAUGACAGAUGUAUUUCUUCGCGCUGGAAACAGACAGAGGACUCUGUAAUCAAGUGUCACGAACCAAAAAUAACUGAAUACUCACAUGUGGGAGAUAUUUUUUAAAUGUUUUGUUGUUAGCUAUUUUGAGUUAAAUAAAAACAAAGAACAAGAAGUAUUUGAAUUUGUC
Ursus americanus (American black bear) is the source of this 1899-nucleotide long non-coding RNA. Lineage: Eukaryota; Metazoa; Chordata; Mammalia; Carnivora; Ursidae. The record is from Ensembl.